GAACUGGGGGUGUUGUGAUGGCGGGGGCCACGGUCUUCCGAGACCGGAGUGGGCAGACUUGCGCCCUCUGAGGACAAGGCCGAACAAGGCGAGUGGCCCAGGGUUGGAGAGCCGAGGAAUGUGGCAGUCAUCCGGCGCGGCUACGUAGGAGGAAACUGAGACCCAGACAGAAAGCACCUUGCCAGGAAGGUCCUCGAACAGGAAGGACAAAGCUGACGUCCCAAACAAGGCACGUUCUGGAACUUCUGCCUAACUACUCUGUGAUGCUGACUUCAAUUCUUCCUGAUGGAAGACCUGCAGAAGGCAGCAUGCAGAAGUUGCAAGUCCUUUCUACAACAGCAGUCUACAAAUGGAAGCCGUGGGCCUGGAUGUUAGCACAUGACCAAAAUGCUAAAAGACGACACAAAGCUGGUCUCAGAAGAUCUAAAUGUCCAGGUCAGCAGUGAAGGAAUUCUGCUCAAGUGCAGCACACAGAGGACCCAUGCCCCACUCCGGCCACGCCCUGGGCAGUCAUUAUAUAUGGGAGGCAGAUGGGAUCAGAGCAGCUCUGUCAAUAAAACUUUAAUAAUGUACAGCAGAAA
This 581-nucleotide long non-coding RNA is filed under the name Rattus norvegicus (Norway rat). Its description in RNAcentral is "uncharacterized LOC103692984". The record is from RNAcentral. Lineage: Eukaryota; Metazoa; Chordata; Mammalia; Rodentia; Muridae.